GCCAGGCAUGGUGGCACACGCCUGUGAUCCCAGCAGCUCGGGAGGCUGAAGCAGGAGGAUCGCGAGUUCAAAGCCAGCCUCAGCAACUCUGUGAGACCCUGUCUCUA
RNAcentral lists this small RNA (107 nucleotides) under Marmota monax (woodchuck). Lineage: Eukaryota; Metazoa; Chordata; Mammalia; Rodentia; Sciuridae. The record is from RNAcentral.